AGGAUAAUAGUUUUAUAACAUCUAAUUUGCACUUAGAAGACGCUAUUUAAAUAGCUUAUCUUA
This 63-nucleotide transfer RNA is filed under the name Agrilus sichuanus. RNAcentral describes it as "tRNA-Ala". The record is from RNAcentral. Lineage: Eukaryota; Metazoa; Arthropoda; Insecta; Coleoptera; Buprestidae.